GGGCCCGCACAAGCGGUGGAGUAUGUGGUUUAAUUCGAAGAUACGCGCAGAACCUUACCAACACUUGACAUGUUCGUCGCGACUUUAAGAGAUUAAAGUUUUCGGUUCGGCCGGACGAAACACAGGUGCUGCAUGGCUGUCGUCAGCUCGUGUCGUGAGAUGUUGGGUUAAGUCCCGCAACGAGCGCAACCCUCACUUUUAGUUGCCAUCAUUUAGUUGGGCACUCUGAAAGAACUGCCAGUGAUAAGCUGGAGGAAGGUGGGGAUGACGUCAAGUCCUCAUGGCCCUUACGUGUUGGGCUACACACGUGCUACAAUGGUAUCUACAACAGGAAGGCAAAACAGCGAUGUUAAGCAAAUCCUUAAAAGAUACUC
Molecule: ribosomal RNA, 374 nt
Filed under: uncultured bacterium
Lineage: Bacteria
Description: bacterial SSU rRNA
Rfam family: Bacterial small subunit ribosomal RNA
Source: RNAcentral